RNAcentral lists this long non-coding RNA (273 nucleotides) under Elaeis guineensis (African oil palm). RNAcentral's name for it is "long non-coding RNA (EGUI_LNC035111)". Lineage: Eukaryota; Viridiplantae; Streptophyta; Magnoliopsida; Arecales; Arecaceae. The record is from RNAcentral.
AACUCUUGUCCAAUACUUUUCAAACAAAUUAUAGGGGUUACCAGUCUCUAAUUUCUGAAACCUCACCCAAUAAUUAUUGAUCUCAUUCCUUAGUUAGUCAAACCCACCAUUCUUACGAAAGUAAAGCUAUCAUUGAGAUCCUCACCUAAUAGUUAUUAGAUCCAACCCCAUCUCCACCCCACAGUAUCUCAUACUUAAUAGAGUGGUUGUGUCUUUCCUAAUGCAACUAAACCACUGUAUCCAGUCGAAAAUAAUCAAUAUCUGAAAGGAUCC